This 73-nucleotide transfer RNA is filed under the name Thermorudis peleae. Its description in RNAcentral is "tRNA-Thr". It matches the Rfam family "tRNA". Rfam says of the family: Transfer RNA (tRNA) molecules are approximately 80 nucleotides in length. Lineage: Bacteria; Pseudomonadati; Thermomicrobiota; Thermomicrobia. RNAcentral also lists the same sequence under 2 other names. The record is from RNAcentral.
GCCGGUGUAGCUCAAUUGGCAGAGCAGCGGUUUUGUAAACCGCCGGUUGUGGGUUCGAGUCCCACCAUCGGCU